RNAcentral lists this small nucleolar RNA (121 nucleotides) under Loxodonta africana (African savanna elephant). Lineage: Eukaryota; Metazoa; Chordata; Mammalia; Proboscidea; Elephantidae. The record is from RNAcentral.
CAGCGCUGCUUGUAACCAGGUAGCCUGGUGUUGGUAACGGGUUGCGUUCCGGUGUGACAGUGUUUCAGAAGACAGGCAACUGGCUGACUGUGGCAACCGCUUUUAGGUCUUGGAGACAAAG